GAUUUCUGGCCUGAAACAUUUUGUCGGCCACGGUCUAUUUACCUUUCUUCAUUGAUUGGUAAGUGGUAUUGGAUCUUUUACUUUGAAAAAAUUAGAGUGUUUCAAGCAGGCUUUAUGCUAUGAAUACAUUAGCAUGGAAUAAUAAUUUAGGACUUCGGUUCUAUUUUGUUGGUUUCUAGGACUGAAGUAAUGAUUGAUAGGGAUAGUUGGGGGUGCUAGUAUUCAGCGGCCAGAGGUGAAAUUCUCGGAUUCGCUGAAGACUAACUUAUGCGAAAGCAUU
RNAcentral lists this ribosomal RNA (280 nucleotides) under uncultured Rhogostoma. RNAcentral describes it as "partial 18S ribosomal RNA". The stretch from base 70 to 280 matches the Rfam family "Eukaryotic small subunit ribosomal RNA", at positions 744 to 955 of the family's 1831-position model. Lineage: Eukaryota; Cercozoa; Thecofilosea; Cryomonadida. The record is from RNAcentral.